AUUAUUUUAUUAUUACGUAUAUAGAGAUCCCCUGCGUGACGUAGGCCUCAUAUGCGAAUAUAUAUGCAUGAUAUGUUUUGACUAUUUAUUCAGUUCUUAUGAAAUGCUUAUAUGUUUAAUGCCCUUUAUGAAAAUGAAAAUGUUAUGAAAAUGAAAUGUUUAUGAAAUGAUUGACUGCCAAAAUGUUUAUGUUUUUAUAUGUAUCCUAUCUGUGUUGGUUCGCCAACUUUAAAGGAAAUCCAAUUGGGAUCCUAUGCUAGACAAAGGUCGCUAGCUAGGGUUAACGUGUACACUCAUGGAGACCGCGAGUCGCUUGCGACCGGUCUUGGCGUCCGUGGUAAGGAGGCCUCCUUCCCGGCGCGUGACAGAAAGGAACAGAUAUGGAUCAUAUGAAGGAAAAUGGGUCGGCCGGCCAAUCUUAUGAAAAUGAAAGAAAUGUUUUAGUAAGCGCAGGUUGAGCAGCUGAUGGAAUGGAAUGGUGUUGAGCGGGUGUUCCUUUGACAUUUCAAGAAAUGUAACCUUGAGUAUACAUCUUCAUAUGUAUAUCUCACACGUUUUCCGCUGCAAAACACUUUGAUUAGGAUAACUCUAUGUUAUAAAGUUGUGACACGUGUUAUUGGGUAACCCACCUUAAUUAGUUCUCCUUUAUGUGUAUGUUUUAUAAGUAUCCAAAUAAUCAUAUAUGAUCCUAGCAUUUUAUCUAUGAGUGACAUUUCCAUAUACUUUAAUGUUAA
Molecule: long non-coding RNA, 734 nt
Organism: Salvia miltiorrhiza (redroot sage)
Lineage: Eukaryota; Viridiplantae; Streptophyta; Magnoliopsida; Lamiales; Lamiaceae
Exons: 2
Source: RefSeq, a predicted model, not a curated record